Molecule: small RNA, 29 nt
Filed under: Bombyx mori (domestic silkworm)
Lineage: Eukaryota; Metazoa; Arthropoda; Insecta; Lepidoptera; Bombycidae
Description: ovarian small RNA-24837
Source: RNAcentral
UCAAUCAUUGUAAAUGAAGCGCCUACAUC